RNAcentral lists this ribosomal RNA (253 nucleotides) under uncultured prokaryote. RNAcentral describes it as "partial 16S ribosomal RNA". It matches the Rfam family "Bacterial small subunit ribosomal RNA", at positions 524 to 776 of the family's 1533-position model. The record is from RNAcentral.
UACGUAGGUGGCGAGCGUUGUCCGGAUUUAUUGGGUUUAAAGGGUCCGUAGGCGGUUUAGUAAGUCAGUGGUGAAAGCCCAUCGCUCAACGGUGGAACGGCCAUUGAUACUGCUAGACUUGAAUUACUAGGAAGUAACUAGAAUAUGUAGUGUAGCGGUGAAAUGCUUAGAGAUUACAUGGAAUACCAAUUGCGAAGGCAGGUUACUACUAGUGGAUUGACGCUGAUGGACGAAAGCGUGGGGAGCGAACAGG